This 234-nucleotide ribosomal RNA is filed under the name uncultured bacterium. Its description in RNAcentral is "partial 16S ribosomal RNA". It matches the Rfam family "Bacterial small subunit ribosomal RNA", at positions 118 to 351 of the family's 1533-position model. The record is from RNAcentral.
UGAGUAACCUGCCCUUAACUCUGGUAUAAGCCUGGGAAACUGGGUCUAAUACCGGAUAUGACUCCUCAUCGCAUGGUGGGGGGUGGAAAGCUUUAUUGUGGUUUUGGAUGGACUCGCGGCCUAUCAGCUUGUUGGUGAGGUAACGGCUCACCAAGGCUUCGACGGGUAGCCGGCCUGAGAGGGCGACCGGCCACACUGGGACUGAGAUACGGCCCAGACUCCUACGGGAGGCAG